This 3442-nucleotide ribosomal RNA is filed under the name Strombomonas verrucosa. Its description in RNAcentral is "partial large subunit ribosomal RNA". It matches the Rfam family "Eukaryotic large subunit ribosomal RNA", at positions 33 to 2417 of the family's 3401-position model. The record is from RNAcentral. Lineage: Eukaryota; Euglenozoa; Euglenophyceae; Euglenales; Euglenaceae.
UUUAAGCAAAUUCAUCAGUGGAGGAAGUGCAAGCAACCGCGAUUGCUUCAGUAACGGCGAGUGAAUGGGCAACACAAUCUCAGCCUGAAGUGAAUCCCAGACUGCACUGUCCUGUGGCAGAUGCGUCCGGCUCUCUAGGGUUCUGAUGCUGUGGGCUGUGGAGCAGGUGGCAGUGAUCAGGCUUGGGCAUGCACCAGGAAUGGCCCUGGAAGGGCCUACCAGAGUGGGAUACUGUCCUUUACGAAUGCCUGUGUGUGUGCCCAGCUUGGACGUUGCUGCUUGCAUCCAGGAGUAGAGUGGCUUGGGACUGCAGUUUGAAGCGUGGGGUAUAUCCCCCAUAAGGCAGCAUACUGACAUGGGACCGAUAGUGCACAAGUAGAGUGAUCGAAGGAUGCAAAGGACUCUGCAAAGAGGGUUAAAAGCCCCUGAAGCCUCAGCAGGAACGGCGGUGAGUGGUGCUGUGGUUCUCAGCUCCAGGGUAUGUCUCCAAGGCCUCUGUGGGUCAGCUGGGGUGCAAGGUUGCUGUGGCCUCACCCAGGUGGUGCAAGGUUGCAGUGGAUCUGCCACAGUGAAGCCCGCUCGGGUUGAGGGGUGUGUGCCUCGGCGGCUGCUGUCCUCUGACUUGGUGGUCAACCAGGUCAAGACAGGUUGAUAGAGAGUGCUACCAAGUGCCCUUGGGCCAGCCCAGAGCUGGCCACUGAGCUCUGUCCUCCAGGAUGGGAUGCAAUCGUGGCAGCCAAGUGGUGGCAGUAUGCCUGCCAGGGCCUGAGGGAUCACUGAUGUCUCCAGAGAGUUGCAGUAGCAGUGCUGGGAAACCAUCAACCUGGUGUGUCUCCGGAUAUGCCAGUGGCUGUGUUGGGUUCUGGCUGGGGUUGGUGGCUGCAUGGUGGCUGCACCAUUCUGAUGGUGGCCCUGUGUGGUUGCUGGCCCUCCAGACCUGGCAUGGUCAGAAGGCAGCUGAGCUUGGUACAAGCAGUGCCACUCUCUGCCCGUCUUGAAACACGGACCAAGGAGUCUAUGGAGCUUGCAAGCUUGCCGGUUCUCAAACCUGAAGGCGUGGUGAAGGCAAGCCAACCCCAGAUGGGUGCAUCCACUCUGCAUGGGGCACCAGUCCCAAGUCCAGUGGACAGGGUUCUGAGUGAUUGCAAGGUCCAUGGGACCCGAAAGGUGGUGAACUAUACCGUGCUAUGAUGAAGCCGUGGGAAACUGCGGUGGAGGUCAGUCGCUGUUCUGACGUGCAAAUUGUGUAGCCUGAGUGCGGCAUAGGGGUGAAAGGCCAAUCGAGCCACCUAGUAGCUGGUUUCCCUCGAAGUUUCCCUCAGGAUAGCCGGGUUCGAAUGCAACACCACAGCAGUGGUUACGUCCGGUAAAGCAACGCAUGAGAGGCACUGCGGGGAGCUCAUGCUCCUCGACCUAUCCUCGAACUGUGAAUGGGCGUGGCAACACCCAACCAAGCAUGCUUCUUCACUGAUGCUGGAGUCUGCAAUCAGGUAGUUCUCCUGGCUUCUGAGCGUGUUUGAAUGGUGGCAGCCCUGACUGUCACCAAGGUCUGGCUGCAAGGCACAGUGCUAUGUCCAAGCUGGCUGUCAUGACUUGACCAUCCAGGAGCGUGGUGAUGGGACACCUUGAUGUGGCAGUGGUACCCAGGAGUCUUGUGGUGUGGUGUGCAUCUCAGUGAGGCCACCUGCCCAUGCUCCAUGGAGCUGCUGACCUGCACAGGGACAGUCCAGCCACAACCCAAAGCUCCAGGAUAGGCUCAGGCUUGGUGGUUGGUGAGGCUGGCCUGUGGGCGGCUUGCGGGACCAUACCCUACACCCUGUGCCAAAGGGUUGCUGCCUGGUGGAACAAACGUGCCCAUGUGGACCAUUACUGGUAAGCAGUGCUGGUGAUGCGGGAUGCUCCGAGAGUGGACUUGAAGAUCCAGAGUGCUGGCUCAUACCCAGAUCCCACAAAGGAUGUUGCUCGCUAGUGAUAGCAGGACGGUGGCCAUGAAGGUUGGAACCCGCUAAGGAGUGUGUAACAACUCACCUGCCGAAGCGUGCAGCUCCCCAAAAUGGAUGGUGCCCAAGUCAGUGAAGCUGAGUUCGCCUUAUAGUCCACUGCCACUGUGGCAGCUGAGCAGAGCAUUGGCAUGUAGAAGGACAUGGGAGACAGCCAUGCCCACUGGGGUUGACCCCAGUCAGAGUGUCUUCUGGAGCAGAUCUUGGUUGCAGUAGCGAGUACUCCAUCGGGUGAAGAGUGGCCACAAACCCACCACUGUGUGCGGUUGAGGACUGGAGUGGAGCAGGUUUCCGCACCAAACAGCCGUUGAAUGCGGGUCAGCCGGCCGUGAGCCAAGUGGUAAGUUCACUGAACAACCAAAGCUGCCAUGCCCUUCAGGGUUGGGAGAUGAAGCCAGACCUGGUGAAUGGGAAGCACACUUGGUGCCAGUGGUUCCAUGGACCAGCGCCAACCUCAAGAGUGGGCAACCCAAUGUCAUCCCAGCCUUGGAGUGGUUCAGGCAGGAGUGGCAAACAGGCAAGCAGUGCAACAUUCUGCUGUGAUGGGCUUGGAGUGCUCUGGUGGUAACACCAUCAGACUUGGAGCAAGCAGGCUUAGGGGCAGUGCACCCCCAGAGGAGUUAUCGUUUCCUCCUGAUGCAAGGCUCAAGUGGGCUAUGGAUUGCAUGUCAAGGUGGUGAUGUAAGCCCUUUGCCCAGCAAGGCAGUGCCACUCUCAGCACUGGUGGAGAUCUCGGGUUACAGUGCUCUGGCAUCAUCCAUGAACUCAGCAAGCACCACUUGGUGGUCACUGGCUCCAAUGAAAGGCCUGCGGGACAUUGUGCUCCUAGACCCUGGCUUUCGUACUGCAUCACCGCAGCCGGUCUCCUCGGCUUGACGCCGCUUGUCCACAGACGAAAUGCAGCUAAGGGAAGUCGGCAAACUAGCCAUGUACCUUCGGAAGAUGUGGUGGCUCCAGAGGCCAAGUCAUGGGGCCCAGUGGUGGUCUGUGUGAUGUGGUGGUGUCUGCCCUGGAUGGUGGUUCACUCCAUCGUCUGGAGCCAAGGUGCCACUGCUAGUGCAGCUCUGCCGCUGGGGGUCAGGUGGUCUUCAUGACUGCCUGUGCCCAUCCCUGUGUCUGAUCAGUGGCCCAUAUGGAACUGUUGCUGCGCAGGGGAAUCUGACUGUUUAAUUGAAACCCAGCUUUGUGAAGGGACCAGCUGGCUGGUUCCAUGAGGUGACUUCUGCCCAGUGCUCUGAUUGUCAAUGCGAAGAGAUUCAGCCAAGCGCGGGUAAACGGCGGGAGUAACUAUGACUCUCUUAAGGUAGCCAAAUGCCUCGUCAACCAAUUAUUGACGCGCAUGAAUGGAUCAACGAGAUUCCUGCUGUCCCUAGUUGCUGUCUGGUGAACCAACAGCCAAGGGAACGGGCUUGGAUGUGUCAGCGGGGAAAGAAAGCCUGGGU